Pecten maximus is the source of this 2234-nucleotide RNA transcript. It is a transcript of the gene named integumentary mucin C.1-like, with no coding region annotated. The record is from RefSeq and is a predicted model, not a curated record. The transcript is spliced from 5 exons. NCBI's taxonomy places the organism in Eukaryota, Metazoa, Mollusca, Bivalvia, Pectinida, Pectinidae.
GGUUUCUAUAUAUAGACCCGAAUCAUAUAGAACGCACAUACCACACCAACCCGACAACCGGCAGCCAUGGGACCCGGAACAGACAGUCUGUUUGUAAUUCUCAUCAUUAUUUCAGGCAUUAAUAAAGAUGCAUAUGUGGGAAAUGGUGUAUGUGCUUACACUACGUCAAGAAGCAUUGUAACAUCUACUGCGGCAACAUCCACUUCUGAGUACACGACGAGUAUAAUGACAACAUCCGUGUCCGAGCCGUCCACAACAACGGAUGGAAUGACAACAUCCACUCCUGAGCCGGCCACGACAGUGGAUGGAAUGAUGACAACAUCCGUGACCGAGCCGGCCACGACAGUGGACGAAAUGAUGACAACAUCCGUGACCGAGCCGGCCACGACAGUGGACGAAAUGAUGACAACAUCCGUGACCGAGCCGGCCACAACGGUUAAUGGAAUGAUGACAACAUCUGGUCCAAUGACGUCAGCCAAGGUCGCUGACGGUAAAUAUUAAUCAUAAAUUAUUUCCUUUAAAAUAUUUGCUCAUUAAUUGUUUAUUUGCUACAUCCUGUUAACGUAAUUAUUAGAUAAUCACUUGAUCACGUGUAAAUUUAUGAAUAUUAUUAUUGUUUGAUUUGAGAUUAUAUCGUUUUAUAGCAUUUGUGUGUCUAAUUUGAGGACAUAGAAUCAAAUGUUUGAGUUGUGCAGAUGUAUUAAGUACUAUUCUAAUGUUUCCAGCUGUGACCACAGACCACGGACUUAACAUUUUGUCACUAUUUUACACCUAUGUGAUGAAAACUUACAUCUCAACACUUGUCAUUAACACCUUACCCAUUGAUGUCAUUUACAUCCCACAAUAUAAUACACCAUUAUAUACACAACAGAGAUCAAAUUGCAUGUCGGCCAUUUCACAUUAAAACACAGGGACUAGUACGUUUGACGAAUAUGAUAAUUCAUUUCUUCAUUAGUUUUAUUGUAGAAUGUAUACCGGAAGUGUAAAGUAGAAGCAGAAGAGCAUCACACACGAUGUAUCAAUUUGACAAUUCACCUUUUUCCAUUGUUCAUGUAUAUUGUCCAUUGUCCAUGUAUAUUGUCCAUUGUCCAUGUCUAUUAUCCAUUGUCCAUGGCUAUUGUCCAUUUUCCAUGUCCAUCGUGUAUCAUCCGUGUCUAUUGUCAAUUGUCCAUGUCUAUUGUAUAUUGUCCAUUGCUAUUGUCCAUGUCUUUUUGGUGUCCUCUGUCAGGACUCUCGUUGUCAUAGUGUGGUGUAUAGUAUGAGCGAUAUAAGUAUGCUAGUGAAGGCCCCAUUAAUGCAGCGUUGUCACCUUACCAAAUCCGUAAGUAUAUUUACGUUCAAUUUUAUUGUAAAAAUAGUAACACGUGAUAUCAAUUAUAAUUCAAUCUAGUAAAACUGCAGCAUCUUUAUAUAAUUCUAGUGCCUUUUAAACUUCAUAUACAUCUUCAAAUAUGAAAUAGGUUAUAAUUCAAACAGAUUAAUAAUGUAAUUCAAUGAAUAAUAUCCACUACAGCGGUACAUACAGCUGACGAUAAGUUCUUUGUUUUAAUGCAUCUUACUUAAACGUGGAAUCUUUAAAAUGUGAAACAUUCUAAUUGUAUACAAGUCACUGAAACAAUCUAAAGACUAUGCCAAUUAUUUUCAGAUACAAUCUCGAUCCCUCAGAGUACAGCACCACUAUAUUGCUCAGCAGGCUGAUGAUGAAAUGGGAAGGUGUAAUGGCAAUAGAGUUAGACACAGUAAAGCCACAACUUAAUUAAACUAAUCUUUCAACGUUGUUUUGACCUUAAUCAUAUAGAACACACAUACCACACCAACCCGACAAACGGUGUCAUGGGACGCGGAGCAGACAGUCUGUUUGUAUUUCUCAUCAUUACUUUAGGAAUAAAUGAAGUGUGUACCCAGGAUCCCUGUGAUACACAUGACGUAAUCCAGGUGGACGAGAAACGACUUCCGAGUAACACUGAGACUAAUCCAGACAAUGGCGAGUGUGAUAAUCUCAUUAGUCCUGGGUGGUACAGGUUAAUGGGUAAUUUCAGCACCGAUCUAUAUAAUGACACCGCAUCUGUCAAUCAAUGUGGAACAUCUUAUCCUUUAUGGAUGACAGGUAAUAUUGUCAGCACUUUUUUUAAUUGGUAUUUUUUCAUUUAUUCAUUUUCUAUAUCACACAACCAUCCUCUCUAUACAGAUUUUACCCAUGUACCUUCCAAUAUACAGCCAAACCCACACACCUU